RNAcentral lists this long non-coding RNA (326 nucleotides) under Gallus gallus (chicken). RNAcentral describes it as "long non-coding RNA NONGGAT009355". The record is from RNAcentral. Lineage: Eukaryota; Metazoa; Chordata; Aves; Galliformes; Phasianidae.
GGAGAGUCCGCCAUCGGAGCGGGACGUGCAGCAUUUUCAGUGGAAUUACGUGAAGAUGUCAUAGAGAAGGAGGUUCUGAAAGAGAAGUGGUUGAAACAAUGAGCAGCGUGGAGGAAGUGCUGCUGCUGCAGUAUCCCUUGCGUACUACACUGAAAGAAAUUGCCUGGACGUGCACCUGGAAUGUGCUCAAAUGAUACCGUGCAACUUGGAAAUGCCCAGAGGCCUUUAUGGUGAGUUUUGUUGAACAAAGCACAUAAGUUCGAUCGCUGCAUGUCAAGGUGAGCCUUUUCUCAUAAGUCACUGUAUUUCUGAUUCGUGUCUGAAGG